GACGAACGCUGGCGGCGUGCCUAAUACAUGCAAGUAGAACGCUGAAGGAGGAGCUUGCUUCUCUGGAUGAGUUGCGAACGGGUGAGUAACGCGUAGGUAACCUGCCUGGUAGGGGGGGAUAACUAUUGGAAACGAUAGCUAAUACCGCAUAAUAGUAGAUGUUGCAUGACAUUUGCUUAAAAGGUGCAAUUGCAUCACUACCAGAUGGACCUGCGUUGUAUUAGCUAGUUGGUGAGGUAACGGCUCACCAAGGCAACGAUACAUAGCCGACCUGAGAGGGUGAUCGGCCACACUGGGACUGAGACACGGCCCAGACUCCUACGGGAGGCAGCAGUAGGGAAUCUUCGGCAAUGGACGGAAGUCUGACCGAGCAACGCCGCGUGAGUGAAGAAGGUUUUCGGAUCGUAAAGCUCUGUUGUAAGAGAAGAACGAGUGUGAGAGUGGAAAGUUCACACUGUGACGGUAUCUGACCAGAAAGGGACGGCUAACUACGUG
RNAcentral lists this ribosomal RNA (495 nucleotides) under uncultured bacterium. Its description in RNAcentral is "partial 16S ribosomal RNA". It matches the Rfam family "Bacterial small subunit ribosomal RNA", at positions 28 to 507 of the family's 1533-position model. The record is from RNAcentral.